UACGGGAGGCAGCAGGGGGGAAUAUUGCACAAUGGGCGCAAGCCUGAUGCAGCCAUGCCGCGUGUAUGAAGAAGGCCUUCGGGUUGUAAAGUACUUUCAGUCGUGAGGAAGGUGUUAAGGUUAAUAACCUUAGCAAUUGACGUUAGCGACAGAAGAAGCACCGGCUAACUCCGUGCCAGCAGCCGCGGUAAUACGGAGGGUGCGAGCGUUAAUCGGAAUUACUGGGCGUAAAGGGCACGCAGGCGGUUAAUUAAGUUGGAUGUGAAAUCCCCGGGCUUAACCUGGGAAUGGCAUUCAAGACUGGUUAGCUAGAGUCUUGUAGAGGGGGUAGAAUUCCAUGUGUAGCGGUGAAAUGCGUAGAGAUGUGGAGGAAUACCGGUGGCGAAGGCGGCCCCUGGACAAAGACUGACGCUCAUGUGCGAAAGCUGGGGAGCAAACAGGGAUUAGAUACC
RNAcentral lists this ribosomal RNA (452 nucleotides) under uncultured bacterium. Its description in RNAcentral is "bacterial SSU rRNA". It matches the Rfam family "Bacterial small subunit ribosomal RNA", at positions 340 to 786 of the family's 1533-position model. The record is from RNAcentral.